Molecule: ribosomal RNA, 253 nt
Filed under: uncultured bacterium
Lineage: Bacteria
Description: partial 16S ribosomal RNA
Rfam family: Bacterial small subunit ribosomal RNA
Source: RNAcentral
UACGUAGGGUGCGAGCGUUGUCCGGAAUUACUGGGCGUAAAGAGCUCGUAGGUGGUUUGUCGCGUUGUCCGUGAAAACUCACAGCUCAACUGUGGGCGUGCGGGCGAUACGGGCAGACUGGAGUACUGCAGGGGAGACUGGAAUUCCUGGUGUAGCGGUGGAAUGCGCAGAUAUCAGGAGGAACACCGGUGGCGAAGGCGGUUCUCUGGGCAUGACCUGACGCUGAGGAGCGAAAGCAUGGGGAGCGAACAGG